UGUUAAACAGAACCAGUUACGUUUUGAAUUUCCAGCAGCAAUGAAGAUAGUUUUGGUUUUCAUAGUUUUAGUCGUUAAAGAAUUCGAAUGUACUUCUACUAAUAACUUGUUGAUUCACCCAAAUUUAAUUACUGACGACAUGAAACAUAUCCCUUGGAUGGAAAAGUUUAUAGAAUAUAAUGAAGUUACGCGAUCAGACAAAAUAUGUUGCUUGAGAAAGAACUUGGAACAAGUACAGAUAAUAAGAAAGAAGUUCAUGGCUGGGUAUUGUGAAAUUAUUGAUAGGCCCAAAAAUCUAGUAGCAGAAGUCAGGAAUGCAUUAGACCGCCUACGCCAAAUAUGGAAAAUUAUCACAGACGACCUAAAAGCACAUGAUGAACUGGAAAAACGUAAAAAAGGCGGUGUGAAGUCUCUCUUAAAAUCAUCUAGUGCGCUCUUUCCCAAAAUUUUGAAUCAUAUCGAGGAAAUGUGUCGAUUCGAAGCCGUGCAACCGGUUAAUAAAGAAUACAGGAAUCUCUUCUUAAAACUUUUUGUAGCAUUAAACUCCAUUAUGGGUAAAUCUUUAAAAUGUAUGUACAACAAGUGGAAUAUGUAUGAUACACAUGUAAAUAUAAAAUAUUUCUGAACAUUGUUAGCAUUUUAAAAUAAUAAAUUCUAACACCCUAUUUUUAUAAGCUA
This is a long non-coding RNA of Drosophila subpulchrella, 678 nucleotides long. RefSeq lists it as uncharacterized. The record is from RefSeq and is a predicted model, not a curated record. Lineage: Eukaryota; Metazoa; Arthropoda; Insecta; Diptera; Drosophilidae. The transcript is spliced from 2 exons.